CGGUGAUGACGACGACGACGGACCGACCAUGAGGAGGCGGCUGCGGGAGGCGGCUAGGGUGCACAGAGAGGAGUAGAAGCAUCUUGGUUAUAGCGCAUGCCUUGAUAGAGAGUUGUGCUGAAGUCAAAGACAAGCAACCUUUGUUGCUUCAUCACUAGAGGUUCUAGAAAAGUUAUUGGAAUACACUGUUUAGCAUUUGAUAAAGGGGUGCCUAAGAUGCCAAAAGGUAAUACGAUAUUAUCUAGUGGGUUUAUUUCCAUUGAUGCAGAACAGAAGAGUGAAUGAAGGAAAGCCCCUUCUGAUAACCGUUCGAAAAUAAAUGUUCAUGGCACAUUUGCUGGAUAUUUCGGAAAUCCAGAAGUCUGAAUUUUCUGUUCCUUUCCUGAAGCAUCUGUGUGGAGGUACUGAAUUGUUUUUGGCACGUCAAAGCCUCACAAGGACGUUCAGGAGGUAUAUAAAUAUAUACUGAUGGGCAUCAACUUGGCCUUUUUACAUAA
Non-coding RNA from Oryza sativa Japonica Group (Japanese rice), 497 nucleotides. NCBI's taxonomy places the organism in Eukaryota, Viridiplantae, Streptophyta, Magnoliopsida, Poales, Poaceae. The record is from RefSeq and is a predicted model, not a curated record.